Molecule: ribosomal RNA, 253 nt
Filed under: uncultured bacterium
Lineage: Bacteria
Description: partial 16S ribosomal RNA
Rfam family: Bacterial small subunit ribosomal RNA
Source: RNAcentral
UACGGAGGGAACUAGCGUUGUUCGGAAUUACUGGGCGUAAAGCGCGCGUAGGCGGUACGAUAAGUCAGGGGUGAAAUCCCGGGGCUCAACCCCGGAACUGCCCUUGAAACUAUCGAACUAGAAUGUCGGAGAGGUAAGUGGAAUUCCGAGUGUAGAGGUGAAAUUCGUAGAUAUUCGGAAGAACACCAGUGGCGAAGGCGACUUACUGGACGAUGAUUGACGCUGAGGUGCGAAAGCGUGGGGAGCAAACAGG